RNAcentral lists this ribosomal RNA (354 nucleotides) under Triticum aestivum (bread wheat). RNAcentral's name for it is "partial small subunit ribosomal RNA". Lineage: Eukaryota; Viridiplantae; Streptophyta; Magnoliopsida; Poales; Poaceae. The record is from RNAcentral.
AUGGCCAUAUUCGACGAGUUCUACGUUGGCUCCAUUGAUCUCGGGCGUCUCAACUAUGGGAUCAUCUCUAUCAUCCCCAAGUUCCUUGGGGCGUUCGACAUCCGCCAUUUUCGCCUGAUCAUGGUCAUUAAUGUGAUUUUUCGGAUCCUGGCCAAAGGGUACGCCAAUAGGGUGACCCUGCUAGCGGACCAUGUGACUCACCCCAACCAGUCGGCCUUCAUUAAGGGCUGUUACAUCUUGGAUGGGGUCCUUGUCCUUCAUGAAGUCCUUCAUGAGGUCCACGUCAAACACCUCAAGGCUGUUUUGCUGAAGAUUGACUUCCACAAGGCCUACAAUACGGUUAGCUGGCCCUUC